This is an RNA transcript of Podarcis raffonei (Aeolian wall lizard), 1990 nucleotides long. It is a transcript of the gene named galactokinase 2, with no coding region annotated. The record is from RefSeq and is a predicted model, not a curated record. Lineage: Eukaryota; Metazoa; Chordata; Lepidosauria; Squamata; Lacertidae. The transcript has 12 exons.
CCUGCCAUCCCCCGUGUGAAUAAACCCUAUUUCAAGUUAAAGGAAGUCCUUAUUUCCAUACGUGGCGCACGUGGGUGCUUAUAGACUAGUCUUCCCGAUGGGGGAGGCGCCAGAGAUCCAGCAACUAGAUUCCUCCUCCUCCCCCGCCCGGUUGAGCUAGGAUAAUGUACUAAAUCUGGCUGCAAGAGGAUCAUAACUUGCUGAGUUGCUAUUUGCUCAGGCGAGUUGUUUGCACAAGCGCUGCCUAUACGGUGGACCUGGGCGGGGAAUACAAAGAGGAAAUGCAGCAGCGGCUGGACGUUUGCAGCUGAUUUCUCUCUCCCCUCCUCCGCCCCCGUAAUGCCGGAAGGAAGCAGCUUCCGUACUCCAGGAUCUGAGCCUCAGGGCUUUGCAAGCUAGCUAGAAAAGAGAAAACCUCCAGCCGCUUUACUUUGCCCUGGUGCGCGCCAACUCGCAAGGAGCAAACCAUGGCCGCGGAUCUCCCUCCCACCCUCUCGAUCCAGCUGGUAGAGGAGCCCAGACUGCUGAAGCUGAAGAAGAUGUUCAUCUCUAAAUUUCAAUCAACUCCCAAGUUUUAUGCUCGGGCACCAGGGCGAGUCAACUUAAUAGGUGAACAUAUAGAUUAUUGUGGAUAUGCUGUGCUCCCAAUGGCCAUAGAGCAAGAUAUACUUAUAGCUGCUGAACCUCUAAACACUCCAGCUAUCCAUCUGGCCAAUACAAACCCUUUGUACUCGGAUUUUACUACAAAUGCCAACAACAUUCAAAUUAAUCAAACGGAACCUUUGUGGCACAACUACUUUCUAUGUGGAGUCAAAGGAAUUGAGGAUCAUUUCAGUCUAGACAGUCCAAGUGGCAUGAAUUGCCUUGUAGAAGGAACCAUCCCUCCAAGUUCUGGCCUCUCCAGUUCCAGUGCCUUGGUCUGCUGUGCAGGACUCGUGACCCUUAUGGCAAAUGGAAAGACUCUUCCAAAGGUGGAGCUGGCUGAACUCUGCAGCAAGAGUGAACGCUACAUUGGCACAGAAGGAGGAGGCAUGGACCAAUCCAUCUGCUUUCUUGCAGAAAAGGGAACUGCCAAGCUGAUACAGUUCAAUCCUCUUAGGGCUACUGAUGUGAGGCUUCCAGAGGGAGUAGCUUUCCUUAUUGCCAAUAGUUGCGUUGAAAUGAACAAGGCAGCGACUUCUCAUUUUAAUAUUAGGGUGAUGGAGUGUCGUCUGGCUGCAAAGCUUCUAGCAAAAUCCAGAGGCCUAGAUUGGAAAGCAAUGGCAAAGCUCCAGGAAGUGCAGGUCAAGCUGAAACUAAGCUUAGAGGAAAUGCUGGCUGUGGUUGAGGAGGUGUUUCACCCUGAGCCUUACAGCAUAGAGGAAAUUGGGAAAAACCUGGGAAUUAGCUCCAAAGAGCUACGCACUCAGAUCCUCAGCCAGAACACACAAGAUGUGACCACCUUUAAAUUAUACCAACGUGCUAAGCAUGUGUACAGCGAAGCUGCCAGAGUCCUGGAGUUUAAGAAGAUUUGUACAGAGGCACCUGAAGAUGCAGUUCAGUUAUUGGGGGAUUUAAUGAACCAGAGCCAUGCCAGCUGCAAGGACUUAUAUGAGUGCAGCUGUCCUGAACUGAAUCAGCUGGUGGACAUCUGUCUGUCUUGAUCCAAAUCUACAAACAAAUUCAAAAGAGCCAGACAAAGGAUGAAUUGUUUGUCCAUUUAUCAGUGAGAUCUCAGAAAAUAAUUUUGUCUAGAACUGUUUUACCUUGGGGCAGCCCAACCACUUAUGCAGGAGCAGCUGAAUCUUGAAAAGUGUGAGGUGCCUCAUCCUGAUGAGCAGAACUGCUCGGCAUCUGGACUUUACCAGAUUUGGAAAUUUAUAUUAUGACUACUAACUAGGCAUAAACUAAAGGAUCUUUGCUGAUGAAUGCUGGCAAUUUGGAGCCAUUGGGUCGCGCCUGACGGGAGCAGGAUGGGGUGGCUGCACUGUGUCAAUGGUUCCUGUGGAGA